This 454-nucleotide ribosomal RNA is filed under the name Anaplasma phagocytophilum. RNAcentral describes it as "bacterial SSU rRNA". It matches the Rfam family "Bacterial small subunit ribosomal RNA", at positions 44 to 524 of the family's 1533-position model. Lineage: Bacteria; Pseudomonadati; Pseudomonadota; Alphaproteobacteria; Rickettsiales; Anaplasmataceae. The record is from RNAcentral.
AAGCUUAACACAUGCAAGUCGAACGGAUUAUUCUUUAUAGCUUGCUAUGGAGGAUAAUUAGUGGCAGACGGGUGAGUAAUGCAUAGGAAUCUACCUAGUAGUAUGGGAUAGCCACUAGAAAUGGUGGGUAAUACUGUAUAAUCCCUGCGGGGGAAAGAUUUAUCGCUAUUAGAUGAGCCUAUGUUAGAUUAGCUAGUUGGUAGGGUAAAGGCCUACCAAGGCGAUGAUCUAUAGCUGGUCUGAGAGGAUGAUCAGCCACACUGGAACUGAGAUACGGUCCAGACUCCUACGGGAGGCAGCAGUGGGGAAUAUUGGACAAUGGGCGCAAGCCUGAUCCAGCUAUGCCGCGUGAGUGAGGAAGGCCUUAGGGUUGUAAAACUCUUUCAGUAGGGAAGAUAAUGACGGUACCUACAGAAGAAGUCCCGGCAAACUCCGUGCCAGCAGCCGCGGUAAU